AUACUCACCAGCUGACUACCUUUUGGUGAAUUGGGAACUCCAUAACCUCCACUUAAAAAACCUAGACACAGGUUGUAUUUUCUUGGAGUUUUCCAGGUAAGGUCAAUUAGACAAUGAGAGAAACUUAGCCUUUGGGGGCCAGUCCCAUUCCCCAUCCCAGGAUCAGAUCUAUGAGAGCUAGAAUUUUUAUUUAUUUUUUAAACCCUUACCUUCCAUCUUAGAAUCAAUACUGUGUAUCAGUUCCAAGGCAGAAGAGUGGUAAGGGCUAAGCAAUGGGGGUUAAGUGACUUGCCCAGGGUCACACAUUUGGGAAGUAUCUGAGGCCAGACUUGAACCCAGGACUCCAGACCUGGCUCUCAAUCCACUGAGCCACCCAGCUGCCCCUGAGAGCUAGAAUUUUUAGGGAAAAUCCCUUAUCUUGUCUUAAAAUUGAUGCCAAGUAUCAGUUCCAAGGAAGAGCAAUAAGGGCCAGGCAACUGGAGUUAAGUGACCUAUCCAGGGUCACAUAGCCAGGAAGUAUCUGAGGCCAGAUUUGAACCCAGGAACCCCCUCAUCUCUGGGUCUGAUUCUAUCUACUGAACCACUGAGCUCUCCCAGGAGUCAUUACUACUUUUUCUCAGGAUCCUGAGAUGGACGGAAUGGUACCUUUAGCAUAAAUAAAAUCUGGAAAUCACAGCUAGCAUCCACAAGUAGGGAAUAUGAGAGGCAGCAUGAGAUGGACUAGGAAAUGGUGUUGGAUUUGUUUUCAUGAAAGAACUGGGUUAGAUUCCUUGUUCCUACACCUGUGUGACCUGAGCAACUUCCCUGACCCUCAGUUUCUUCCUUGAGACAAUGGGGAUAAUCCUUAUAAUUCCUCCCUCCCAGGGCUGUUGUGGAGAAAGCAUUUUGUAAGGCUGAACUCAUCUAUGAUAGUUAAGUUCAAAAUGGUUCCACUAAUGACAGUGACACUGACCCAUUUUCACAAAAAUGAGCAGAUUUUGUAUGUCCUUUCAAGUAAUAUGGGGCAGAAUAUACGAAGACGAAGGCCAAGAAGGAGAAACAUAUCAAAGUUAAAGAACAUGGUGGAGAUACUCUAAUGAGGAUAAAAGCAAGCAGGAUAAGAAGGAUGAUUUCAGAAAAACCUGGAAAGACCUGCAGGAACUGAUGCAAAGUGAAGUGAGUAGAAACAAGAGAACAUUGUGUUCAGUGCCAGCAAUGUUAGAUGAUGAACAUUUAUGAAUGAUUUGUCUAUUCUUAGCAGUACAGUGAUCCAAGACAAUCCUCAAGGACUCAUGAUGAAAAACACCAUCUGGCUCCAGAGAAAGAACCGAUGGAAUCUGAAUGUAGACUGAGACAUACUAUAUUUCUCUUGAUUUCAUCACUUUUGUUUGUUCAAGUUUUCCUUCACAAAAUGACUAAUAUGGAAAGAAGUUUUACACUAUUGCACAUGUAAAAUCUGUGUGUAAGAUUGUUGUCUCAAGGAGGGGGGAGGAAAGAGAGGGAAGGAGAGUGAGAAUUUGGCUCAAACUAAAAAAAAAUCAUAAGUUAGAAUAGUCUUUUCACAUAAUUUAGGAAAAAAAGUAAGAUAUUCUUAAAAAAAAAUAGUAGGGAGCAGCUAGGUGGUUCAGUCAGGCCUAGAGAUAGGAGGUCCUGGGUUCAAACUUGACCUUAGAUACUUCCUAGCUGUGUGACCCUGGGCAAGUCACUUAACCCCCAUUGCCUAGCUCUUAUCCUUCUUCUGCCUUGGAGCCAAUACACAGUUUGGGUUUAAAAAAAAAAAGUGUAUCCUCCCUAUAAAAUGUAAGUACUAUGAGAGAAGGGACUAUUGCAUCCUUCUCUUUUGUAUACUCUAGUGCCUGGCACACCGUGGGUACUUAAUAAGUGCUUGCUUCCUUUCUUCCGAUCACCUACUGCCUCUGUUUUCAUCGUGAAAGCUGAGCCCAGUGACCAUGCCUUUCCUAUACUGUGAAAAUCCUUUCUGUUUGAUAUAGGGCUGUGUGCAUACUCUAUUGGAGGCCUGAUCUCUUCUCUGUUAAAAAUGCAAAUCCCAUCUUGGGAUUUUAGUAGCUCAUGUUGUAAUAGCAGCUCACAUAUAUGUAGUGCUAAUGCUGUUUACAAAGGAUUUUCCUUCUAAUCUCUCUGUGAAGUAGGUAGAAAGGUAUUUUGUGGCCAUUUUACAGACAAGGAGACUGAGGUUCAUAGAGGGUUGAUGAAUCGCUCAAGAUAAUACAGCUAGUAAAUGGUAUAGCUGAGUCUAACCAAGAUCUGACUCUGGUAGAAUCAUAUAGCUUGUAUAGGAUGUAGAAUCUUUUAGGACUACAGGAUGUGGAACCUAAAGGUUGGUUUAAUCUUUUUUUUUUUUAAUAAAGGAAGAAAUUUGGUCCA
Molecule: long non-coding RNA, 2364 nt
Organism: Monodelphis domestica (gray short-tailed opossum)
Lineage: Eukaryota; Metazoa; Chordata; Mammalia; Didelphimorphia; Didelphidae
Source: Ensembl